GAGACAGGUAACUAUGGCCUACCACAGCUUCCUGGUGGAGCCCAUCAGCUGCCAUGCCUGGAACAAGGACCAUACACAGAUCGCCAUCUGCCCCAACAACCAUGAAGUACACAUCUAUGGGAAGAGCGGUGCCAAGUGGAACAAGGUGCACGAGCUCAAGGAGCACAACGGGCAGGUGACAGGCAUCGACUGGGCCCCUGAGCAUAACCGCAUUGUGACCUGCGGCACAGACCGCAAUGCCUAUGUGUGGACGCUGAAGGGCCGCACGUGGAAGCCCACACUGGUCAUCCUCCGGAUCAAUCGAGCUGCCCACUGUGUGCGCUGGGCCCCCAGUGAGAACAAGUUCGCCUUGGGCAGCGGCUCCCAGGUCAUUUCCAUCUGUUAUUUUGAGCAGGAGAAUGGCUGGUGGGUGUGGAAACACAUCAAAAAGCCCAUCCUCAGCCUGGACUGGCAUCCCAACAAUGUGCUCCUGGCAGCAGGCUCCUGUGACUUCAAGUGCAGGAUCUUCUCUGCCUAUAUCAAAGAGGUGGAAGAACGGAACGGCCAGCCCCUACAAGGUGAGGCUCCAAGAUGCCCUUUGGGGAGCUGAUGUUUGAAUCGAGCAGCAGCUGUGGCUGGGUGCACAGCAUCUGCUUCUCAGCCAGUGGGAGCCGAGUUGCUUGGGUCAGCCAUGACAGCACUGUAUGCCUGGUAGACGCUGACAAGAAGAUGGCCGUGGCAACCCUGGCCUCUGAGACAUUACCACUCCUGGCCGUCACCUUCAUCACAGAAAAAUAGUCUAGUGGCAGCAGGCUACGACUGCUUCCCGGUGCUGUUAACCUAUGACAAUGCUGCGGUGACAUUGAGCUUCGGUGGCCGGCUGGAUGUGCCCAAGCAGAGCUCCCAGCGUGGUAUGACAGCUUGAGAGCACUUCCAGAACCUGGACAAGAAGGCCAGCUCUUAGGGGGGUGCAGCCACUGGGGCCGGCCUGGAUUCACUGCAUAAGAACAGUGUCAACCAAAUCUUGGUGCUCAGUGGGGGCAAGGCCAAGUGCUCACAGUUCUGCACUACAGGCAUGGAUGGCGGCAUGAGCAUCUGGGACAUGAAGAGCCUGGAGUCAGCCUUGAAGGAACUGAAGAUUAAAUGA
This is a non-coding RNA of Mus caroli (Ryukyu mouse), 1126 nucleotides long. The record is from RefSeq and is a predicted model, not a curated record. NCBI's taxonomy places the organism in Eukaryota, Metazoa, Chordata, Mammalia, Rodentia, Muridae.